ACAGAGGUUGCAAGCGUUAAUCGGAUUUACUGGGCGUAAAGCGUGUGUAGGUGGUUCGACAAGUCGGUUGUGAAAUCCCCGGGCUCAACCUGGGAAUUGCUUCCGAGACUGUCAGACUAGAGAUCGGUAGAGGGCGGUGGAAUUUCCGGUGUAGCGGUGAAAUGCGUAGAUAUCGGAAGGAACACCAAUGGCGAAGGCAGCCGCCUGGGCCUGAUCUGACACUGAGACACGAAAGCGUGGGGAUCAAACAGGA
RNAcentral lists this ribosomal RNA (253 nucleotides) under uncultured prokaryote. RNAcentral's name for it is "partial 16S ribosomal RNA". It matches the Rfam family "Bacterial small subunit ribosomal RNA", at positions 525 to 777 of the family's 1533-position model. The record is from RNAcentral.